GACCCCGUAGCACAACGGAUAGUGCGGCAGCCUUCUAAGCUGUUGAUGGUUGUUCAAUUCAACCCGGGGUCA
Molecule: transfer RNA, 72 nt
Filed under: Candidatus Magasanikbacteria bacterium RIFCSPHIGHO2_01_FULL_50_8
Lineage: Bacteria; Candidatus Magasanikiibacteriota
Description: tRNA-Arg
Rfam family: tRNA
About the family: Transfer RNA (tRNA) molecules are approximately 80 nucleotides in length. Their secondary structure includes four short double-helical elements and three loops (D, anti-codon, and T loops).
Source: RNAcentral